CAUUGGCUUGUCUUGGGUUAC
This 21-nucleotide non-coding RNA is filed under the name Rattus norvegicus (Norway rat). Lineage: Eukaryota; Metazoa; Chordata; Mammalia; Rodentia; Muridae. The record is from RNAcentral.